This 253-nucleotide ribosomal RNA is filed under the name uncultured bacterium. RNAcentral's name for it is "partial 16S ribosomal RNA". It matches the Rfam family "Bacterial small subunit ribosomal RNA", at positions 524 to 776 of the family's 1533-position model. The record is from RNAcentral.
UACGGAGGGGGUUAGCGUUGUUCGGAAUGACUGGGCGUAAAGCGCGCGUAGGCGGAUAUUUAAGUCGGGGGUGAAAUCCCGGGGCUCAACCCCGGAACUGCCUUCGAUACUGGGUAUCUUGAGUUCGGAAGAGGUGAGUGGAAUUGCGAGUGUAGAGGUGAAAUUCGUAGAUAUUCGCAGGAACACCAGUGGCGAAGGCGGCUCACUGGUCCGAUACUGACGCUGAGGUGCGAAAGCGUGGGGAGCAAACAGG